CUGUUCACCUGGCUCAAGUUCUGUGAUACACUCAGACUUUGAAUCAGUGGUAGUCAGUGCAUGACAGAACUUUGGCCCGG
Molecule: microRNA precursor, 80 nt
Organism: Danio rerio (zebrafish)
Lineage: Eukaryota; Metazoa; Chordata; Actinopteri; Cypriniformes; Danionidae
Gene: dre-mir-152
Product: microRNA 152
Source: Ensembl